GACCGCUCCAUCUGCUGGAGCGGAGUAUGAGCUGGAGUAGGACCCAUGGAUACAAUGGCCGGAACAUCGGCAGGAGGACCCCUCCGCUGAAGAGGAGGAUGACCCGGAGGAGGACCCAUGGAUACCACGGCUGGACCAUCGGCAAGAGGACCCCUCCGCUGUAGCGGAGGAUGACCCGAAGCAGGACCCCAUGGAUACCACGGCUGGACCAUUGGCAGGAGGAUCCCUACGCUGGAACGGAGUACGAGUUGGAGGAGGACCCAUGGAUACAAUGGCCGGACCAUCGGCAGGAGGACCCCUCCGCUGGAGCUGAGGAUGACUUUGGAGGAUCCCAUGGAUACCACGGCCGGACCAUCGGCAGGAGGACCCCAAUGACCUGAAGGAGGAUCCAUGGAUACUACGGCUGGACCAUCGGCAGGAGAACCCCUCCGCUGAAGAGGAGGAUGACCCGGAGGAGGAUCCCAUGGAUACCACGGCCGGACCAUCGGCAGGAGGAUCCCUCCGCUGAAGCUAGGAUGACCUGGAGGAGGACGCAUGGAUACCACGAUCUGACCAUUGGCAGGAGGACCCGAAUGACCUGAAGGAGGACCCAUGGAUACCACGGCCGGACCAUCGGCAGGAGGACCCCUACGCUGGAACGGAGGAUGACCUGGAGGAGGAUCCAUGGAUACCACGGCUGGACCAUCAUCAGGAGGACCCCUCUGCUGGAGCGGAGGAUGACCCGGAGCAGGAUCCCAUGGAUACCACGGUCGGACCAUCGGCAGGAGGACCACUCCGCUGAUGCGGAGGAUGACCCGGAGCAGGAUCCCAUGGAUACCACGGCCGGACCAUCGGCAGGAGGAAUCCUCCGCUGGAGCCUAAGAUGAGCUGGAGGAGGACUCAUGGAUACCACGGCCGGACCAUCGGCAGGAGGACCUCUCCGCUGAUGCGGAGGAUGACCCGGAGCAGGAUCCCAUGGAUACCAUGGCCGGACCAUCGGCAGGAGGACCCCUAUGCUGAAGCGUAGGAUGACCUGGAGGACUCAUGGAUACCACGGCCGGACCAUCGGCAG
Aplysia californica (California sea hare) is the source of this 1051-nucleotide long non-coding RNA. RefSeq lists it as uncharacterized. The transcript has 15 exons. The record is from RefSeq and is a predicted model, not a curated record. Lineage: Eukaryota; Metazoa; Mollusca; Gastropoda; Aplysiida; Aplysiidae.